Molecule: long non-coding RNA, 451 nt
Organism: Mauremys mutica (yellowpond turtle)
Lineage: Eukaryota; Metazoa; Chordata; Testudines; Geoemydidae
Exons: 5
Source: RefSeq, a predicted model, not a curated record
CCACAAGAUACUUCACCAACACUAACAAUCAUAUUAACUUUUCCCCUCUGCUCAAUGAUGACGAACAAUCACUUGCAGGUCACGGAGUUAAAGCAGAUCACCAGGAGAUGACAUACCUCAGAAAUGUUCCUUUCAGGAGGGAAGCAGCAGACACCUAUCUCCUUUGCUGGUCUUCUGUGUAUUCUAUGCCCCACAAUGAAUGCUUCUAUUGACGUGGAUGGAGUUGGAUCACGCCCCGAAUGAAGAAAUUAUUGUGGGAAAGCUAAGUGGGAGAUAUGAGUGCUGAACACUGCUCGAGAUUUGACCCAAUGACUUCACACAGCUGCAAGAAAUUCAGCAGAAAAUACAGUUCUCACUUCCCAGUCAAGUGAGGUGGAGAUUUCAAAAUAAAGACACAAACAAACUAGCAAAGAAGCAAGCAAGAAAAGCUUGGUACGCUACGCAUAAUACA